GGGGGUAUAGCUCAGUGGUAGAGCAUCUGACUGUAGGUCAAGAGGUCCCUGGUUCAAGUCCAGGUGCCCCCU
This is a non-coding RNA of Canis lupus familiaris (dog), 72 nucleotides long. Lineage: Eukaryota; Metazoa; Chordata; Mammalia; Carnivora; Canidae. The record is from Rfam.